This 357-nucleotide ribosomal RNA is filed under the name uncultured Funneliformis. Its description in RNAcentral is "SSU rRNA". It matches the Rfam family "Eukaryotic small subunit ribosomal RNA", at positions 569 to 929 of the family's 1831-position model. Lineage: Eukaryota; Fungi; Glomeromycota; Glomeromycetes; Glomerales; Glomeraceae. The record is from RNAcentral.
CGCAGCCGCGGUAAUUCCAGCACCAAUAGCAUAUAUUAAAGUUGUUGCAGUUAAAAAGCUCGUAGUUGAAUUUCGGGAUCAAUAUUUCGGUCAUGCCGUUGGUAUGCACUGUUAUCAUUGAUUUCUCACCUUCUAAAGAACCGUAAUGCCAUUAAUUUGGUGUUACGGGGAAUUAGGACUGUUACCUUGAAAAAAUUAGAGUGUUUAAAGCAGGCUCACGCUUGAAUACAUUAGCAUGGAAUAAUGAAAUAGGACAUCCGAUUCUAUUUUGUUGGUUUCUAGGAUCGAUGUAAUGAUUAAUAGGGAUAGUUGGGGGCAUUAGUAUUCAAUUGUCAGAGGUGAAAUUCUUGGAUUUAU